RNAcentral lists this transfer RNA (72 nucleotides) under Camelus bactrianus (Bactrian camel). It matches the Rfam family "tRNA". Rfam says of the family: Transfer RNA (tRNA) molecules are approximately 80 nucleotides in length. Their secondary structure includes four short double-helical elements and three loops (D, anti-codon, and T loops). RNAcentral also lists the same sequence under 2 other names. Lineage: Eukaryota; Metazoa; Chordata; Mammalia; Artiodactyla; Camelidae. The record is from Rfam by way of RNAcentral.
GUGGGUAUAGCUCAGUGGCAGACCUCAUGCUUAACAUGCUUGAGGUCCUGGGUUCAAUCCCCAGCACCUCCA